CACCCUUCGGCUUCAGAGAAGCUCCAGCCCUGUUGUCACCAAGCAGGUUCCCCCUAGGCAGAGCGCCAAGAAGCAGCCCAGGCGAUCCCAAGGCGCACAAGUGCUCUCACCAGGCUGCGCGCUGGCGGGUCGGUGCACAGGGACGGGGUCGCCGCCCACGCGCGCUUGGUUCAGGGAGCCCAGGCUGUCCCUACCCGCGGCUACAAAAGCUCGCCGAGUCUUCCUGUCCACCCAAUCGCCCCACAUGUCAGCGGUUGGUCGCCUCGCGGUGCAGUGCUGGGCACGCGAGCCCCUCCCGCAGUCAUUCUCAGCACAAGCACCAGCCUGGAGCCCCGCAGCGACAGAGCUGAGAGCCCCCAAGCCGCAGAGGUCGUGCGGAGCAGGUUGCAAAUGUCUUAGAAACACACUCCUGGACCACAGCUUCAAGAGACGCAAGCAGUCACCUCAUCUGCUGGUUUCCAAGCUGCCCUGCCAGAAGCAGGUCAGGGGUCCCACAGGGGUCCUCAGUAACUCCUCAAAAUCCUCUCCCAUCAAUGGCCCCACCAGAUCAUCCCUACUUUUGAAUGCUUGUCCAAUGCAGGUUCCAGAUUUGAUUAAGUGAAACAAAGCCCCAGCUGCUGGAGCAGAGGUUCCACUUGGGUUCCACAGACACCCACAGCCCAAAUCCCUGGAGGCCUAAGGCAAUAGCUAAUUGAGACUAUGCAUCACUAUUAAGGCAUCUUCACUAAAGGGCGCUGUGGAAACGCUGCCUGAGAUGCAGACACCUGUCAGAAGGGGGCUAAAUUUCAAACAAGGAACGUGGUGUUGCAUCACAAUAAAUAGAUACGGGGUUUCACCGUGUUAGCCAGGAUGGUCUCGAUCUCCUGACUUCAUGAUUCACAUGCCUCGGCCUCCCAAAGUGCUGGGAUUACAGAACAGAAGAAACACACGUGUUCUUGUGUGUAAACCCAGUCCAUGGAAGAGACCGUCUGCUUGUCCCUCCUGAUCUCUGGGCCCAGACAACCAGUAGUCACCAUUCCAAGUGAGGGGUGGCUGCAACUCUACAGCCCCGUUCGUCUCUCCUCACUGUCAAAGCUGCUGAGACCCCAGACUCGACACUUGAAAGAAACCCAUGUCUGUGAAGCACUUGUGGACCAUUCAAGAUUGUGGAAGAAUCACUCAAGAGAAGGAGAUAGCAAUAUUUGCAGAUAUGCAAACUGGCCCCUUGCAUGCACAUCCUGGAGCACGUCCUGGAGCCUUUAGAGGUGAGUGAGAAGGAGACGGCUGCUGCUGUUCCAGUCUCUCCUUAGGCAGACUUGAGUUUCUACCCACUCUUCCCAAGCAGCCGCCCCUCCGCACCCGAGCGAGCCAAAGACCUGGCGGGCUGAGUACUCACUGCGCGCUGGACACAUGCUGAGCCGGCACUGCAGGGACACAGGGCGAGCCGCUGGAUGCAGACCUGUGGCCGCGGCAGUUGGGCUUAUCUUGCCCAUGAAGUUGCCUCUGAAGAACCAAGUCCAACUGUGUAUGCUGAGAGAUGUCUGGCUACUUCCUGAUUGACAGUUCUGGCAAGGUGGCAUUGGGCCCUGGCUUUUCCUCUGGAGGCAUCAUCACUUAUAGGAAAAUGUCCCCUGAAGUCCAAGGAUCAAAGCUGCUGGAACACUGAGAAGCUGAACAAAGGAGAACUGUUUCUCAUCAAACCCAGACUUCCAGACUUCCAAUAGGGUAGAAUGAGCAAGUCAGCAAAUCAUCUUCCUUGGAAACAGUGAUAAAACUAGAUGACAUUGUCAACAACAGCCAUUUCAGAAAUCUAGAAAAUGACCAAAGGCAAACAACAAACUGAGAAGCAUUUUUUUUUCCAUGAAAAAUCGCUCUAUUUCUGCAAAAAUAGUGGGAGUCUAUGGCUUCUCAUCCAGGGCUGUUUCUCUCCCCACCCCAGCUCAGUCAGUACAAAGGUUCUGGCAGCAUGAGGCAGACUGAACAGACCUGAAGUUUGAUUGCUGGAAGAAACUGACUCCAGGUUUGGCAGAGGGUGAGAAACCUACUCCCAGCCAUGUUGUCUGGUGACACAGUGACCUUAGGGACAAGUGAAUAGGGAAGGCCAGUGAUUCAUUAACCUGAGGUUGCAGUCCUGGUUGGGGAAAGCAUCAGAAUGGCAGAUAAGCUAGAAAUUUAGUAGGGAUAUGCUGGAAAUGAGACAACCCCAAAGGGGCUUGACCCCAAAGUUGUCCACACACCCCAGCUGCCUUCUGAGCAGAUGUAGGGAGAGACCAGAGAAGGCCUAGGCUAUCCACACAUCUCUGGCUAACCCAGGCUGUAAACCUGUGGAGGAGACACAAGAGGUGGAUUGAUUGCUAAUGGGCAUAUGGGGGAUCUUACUGGUUGAUAGGAACAUUCUCAAAUUGGAUUGUGGUGAUGCUUGCACAACUCUAAGUUUAUCCCAAAUUGCUAAAUUUUACACUAAAA
RNAcentral lists this long non-coding RNA (2445 nucleotides) under Homo sapiens (human). RNAcentral describes it as "HSALNT0315756". The record is from RNAcentral. Lineage: Eukaryota; Metazoa; Chordata; Mammalia; Primates; Hominidae.